This 615-nucleotide long non-coding RNA is filed under the name Homo sapiens (human). RNAcentral's name for it is "long intergenic non-protein coding RNA 2831". The record is from RNAcentral. Lineage: Eukaryota; Metazoa; Chordata; Mammalia; Primates; Hominidae.
GGAGACCUUUUUCCAAAGUCACUCACACAGCCUCAGGUGUUUACAGGCCUCAGGUCCUUGCUGGCUGUUGGCCAGAGGCCUCAGUUCCUUGCCACAAGGGCCUCCCCAUAGGUUACUCACAACAUAACAGUUUGCAGCCCCCAGAACAAGGACCCCAGAGACAGAGUGAGAGAGGGCAAGAGAAGGCAAGAUGCAAGUCACACUCUUUUUGUAACCUAAUCCCAUCACAUUUCCUGAAUUCUGCUCAUUAGAAAGAAGUCACUAGAUUCAGCCCACAUUCAAGAUGAGAAAUACCAGAAGGCAGAGAACACUGAGGCUGUUUUAGAGGCUGUCAACCCCAGGGAGACAGACAGCAAAUAAGUAAGCAAAUAAAUAAAAAUGGAAGGUGAUAAUAAGUGCAAUGAAAAGAAAUGAAGCAGAGUAAAGAAUCAAGAGUAGCAGUUGAGGGGAUGCUUGGAUGUUUUCACACCACUCUGACACAUGGAUGGAAGGUUAGAAGACAACAAAGGAAUGGGCUGGGAAGGACUCCAAAAGCAGAAUCAGAGAUUAUAUCAUUCCUUGGAAAUGGAGAAAAGGAUCAAAAAAGCUGAAUAAAAGGUAGUCCCAGCAACAAUG